This 464-nucleotide ribosomal RNA is filed under the name uncultured bacterium. Its description in RNAcentral is "partial 16S ribosomal RNA". It matches the Rfam family "Bacterial small subunit ribosomal RNA", at positions 29 to 507 of the family's 1533-position model. The record is from RNAcentral.
ACGAACGCUGGCGGCGUGCUUAACACAUGCAAGUCGAACGGAAAGGCCCCUUUGGGGGUACUCGAGUGGCGAACGGGUGAGUAACACGUGAGUAACCUGCCCUUGACUUCGGGAUAACUUCAGGAAACUGGGGCUAAUACCGGAUAGGAAUCCUUGCUGCAUGGUGGGGGUUGGAAAGCUUCGGCGGUUUUGGAUGGACUCGCGGCUUAUCAGCUUGUUGGUGGGGUAGUGGCUUACCAAGGCUUUGACGGGUAGCCGGCCUGGGAGGGCGACCGGCCACAUUGGGACUGAGAUACGGCCCAGGCUCCUACGGGUGGCAGAAGUGGGGAAUAUUGCACAAGGGGCGGAGGCCUGAUGCAGCAACGCCGCGGGCGGGAUGACGGCCUUCGGGUUGUAAACCGCUUUCAGCAGGGGCGAAGCUUGUGGUGACGGUACCUGCAGAAGAAGCACCGGCUAACUACGUG